RNAcentral lists this ribosomal RNA (253 nucleotides) under uncultured bacterium. RNAcentral describes it as "partial 16S ribosomal RNA". It matches the Rfam family "Bacterial small subunit ribosomal RNA", at positions 524 to 776 of the family's 1533-position model. The record is from RNAcentral.
UACAUGGGGUGCAAACGUUGUUCGGAAUCAUUGGGCGUAAAGCGCGCGUAGGCGGUUACUUAAGUUGGAUGUGAAAGCCCUCGGCUUAACCGAGGAAGUGCAUCCAAAACUGAGUAGCUAGAGUACGAAAGAGGGUCGCGGAAUUCCCGGUGUAGAGGUGAAAUUCGUAGAUAUCGGGAGGAACACCAGUGGCGAAGGCGGCGACCUGGGCCAAUAUUGACGCUGAGGUGCGAAAGCGUGGGGAGCAAACAGG